GCGGAUAUGGCGUAAUUGGUAGCCGCGCCAGACUUAGGAUCUGUGCCGAAAGGCGUGGGGUUCGAGUCCCCUUAUCCGCA
This 80-nucleotide transfer RNA is filed under the name Chitinophagaceae bacterium. RNAcentral describes it as "tRNA-Leu". It matches the Rfam family "tRNA". Rfam says of the family: Transfer RNA (tRNA) molecules are approximately 80 nucleotides in length. Their secondary structure includes four short double-helical elements and three loops (D, anti-codon, and T loops). The record is from RNAcentral. Lineage: Bacteria; Pseudomonadati; Bacteroidota; Chitinophagia; Chitinophagales; Chitinophagaceae.